Molecule: unclassified non-coding RNA, 400 nt
Filed under: soil metagenome
Description: partial contains 5.8S ribosomal RNA, internal transcribed spacer 2, and large subunit ribosomal RNA
Rfam family: 5.8S ribosomal RNA (bases 1-120)
Source: RNAcentral
GAUGAAGAACGCAGCGAAAUGCGAUACUUGGUGUGAAUUGCAGAAUCCCGUGAACCAUCGAGUCUUUGAACGCAAGUUGCGCCCGAAGCCUCGGCUAAGGGCACGUCUGCCUGGGCGUCACGCAUCGCGUCUCCCCCAAACCGCCAAGGCGUAGGGGAAGGAAGAUGGCUUCCCGUGCCUCACCCGGGCGCGGUUGGCCUAAAUUUGGAGCCCGCGGCACUUAGCUCUCGCGGCGAUAGGUGGUGAACAAGGCCUUGGCCGUGCAAACAACCCGCUGCGAAGCUCUAUGUCACGUGCGCUCGUCGGACCCUUUGAAGUUGCCUUUGGUGACUUAAAACCUUUGCGACCCCAGGUCAGGCGGGGCUACCCGCUGAAUUUAAGCAUAUCAAUAAGCGGAGGA